UUUAGCUAGUAUACCUGAGCAAAGAGAACUAUAGUUCAGCCCCCCGAAACUAGGCGAGCUACUUCAGGACAGCCUGUUAGGCUAACGCCUUAAGGGCACACCCGUCUCUGUCGCAAAAGAGUGGGAAGAUCCUCAAGUAGCGGUGACAAAUCUAUCGAGCCUAGUAAUAGCUGGUUGCAUAAAAAGUGAAUUUAAGUUCAGCCUCCUGGCACCGUACAUUAGCUGGCUAAAGCCAUCAAAAAUAAACAGUGAGUCAAGAGAGUUAGUCAAAGAGGGUACAGCCCCUUUGAAAAAGGACACAACCUCAAUGGGAGAAUAAAGAUCAAAUAAUAUUAGGAAAUUUACUUUAGUGGGCCUAAAAGCAGCCACCUAUUAAGAAAGCGUUAUAGCUCCUGUAAAAUUUUUCCUUAAAUACCGAACCUUACUCUUCAUUCCCCUCCUCACUAUUAAGCCCUCCCACAACCCCUGGGAAAGACCCUGCUAAAAUGAGUAAUAAGAGGGAACGCCCCUCUCCGCUUCACGUGUGUAAAUCGGAGCGGACCUACCGCCGAUAAUUAACGAACCGCCUCAAACGAGGGUAGUGUCACACCAUAUAAAUUGCAAGAAAAUUUAACACGAAAAUUCGUUACCCCUACACAGGUGUGCACCCCCGGAAAGACUAAACCAAAGGGAAGGAACUCGGCAAACACAAGCCUCGCCUGUUUACCAAAAACAUCGCCUCUUGCAAAAUUAACAAAUAAGAGGUCCCGCCUGCCCAGUGACUGUGUUUAACGGCCGCGGUAUUAUGACCGUGCGAAGGUAGCGCAAUAAAUUGUCUCUUAAUUAGGGACUAGUAUGAAUGGCAUCACGAGGGCUUAACUGUCUCCCCUUUAAAGUCAAUGAAAUUGAUCUCCCCGUGCAGAAGCGGGGAUAGAAAUGUAAGACGAGAAGACCCUAUGGAGCUUUAGACUUAAAGUACCUCAUGUUAAAGACCCUCUCUCUCUGAGGAUAAACAAAAUGAGCCUUACUGACAUGUCUUCGGUUGGGGCGACCACGGAGAAAAAUAAAACCUCCACAUGGGCGGGCUACUUCAGCCCUAAAAUACAGACCUACAGGUCUAACUAACAGUAAUUCUGACCUCUAAAGACCCGGCGUAAGCCGAUUAAUGAACCUAGUUACCCUAGGGAUAACAGCGCAAUCCCCUCUUAGAGUCCUAAUCGACGAGGGGGUUUACGACCUCGAUGUUGGAUCAGGAUAUCCUAAUGGUGCAGACGCUAUUAAGG
This 1262-nucleotide ribosomal RNA is filed under the name Centrobranchus nigroocellatus (roundnose lanternfish). Its description in RNAcentral is "16S ribosomal RNA". It matches the Rfam family "Bacterial large subunit ribosomal RNA", at positions 619 to 2570 of the family's 2925-position model. The record is from RNAcentral. Lineage: Eukaryota; Metazoa; Chordata; Actinopteri; Myctophiformes; Myctophidae.